This 345-nucleotide unclassified non-coding RNA is filed under the name soil metagenome. RNAcentral describes it as "partial contains 5.8S ribosomal RNA, internal transcribed spacer 2, and large subunit ribosomal RNA". The stretch from base 1 to 119 matches the Rfam family "5.8S ribosomal RNA", at positions 35 to 154 of the family's 154-position model. The record is from RNAcentral.
GAUGAAGAACGUAGCGAAAUGCGAUACGUAAUGUGAAUUGCAAAUUCAGUGAAUCAUCGAGUCUUUGAACGCACAUUGCGCCCCCUGGUAUUCCGGGGGGCAUGCCUGUCCGAGCGUCAUUGCUGCCCUCAAGCACGGCUUGUGUGUUGGGCCCCGUCCUUCGAUCCCGGGGGACGGGCCCGAAAGGCAGCGGCGGCACCGCGUCCGGUCCUCGAGCGUAUGGGGCUUUGUCACCCGCUCUGUAGGCCCGGCCGGCGCUUGCCGAUCAACCCAAAUUUUUAUCCAGGUUGACCUCGGAUCAGGAAGGGAUACCCGCUGAACUUAAGCAUAUCAAUAAGCGGAGGA